This is a long non-coding RNA of Ailuropoda melanoleuca (giant panda), 1137 nucleotides long. RefSeq lists it as uncharacterized. The record is from RefSeq and is a predicted model, not a curated record. Lineage: Eukaryota; Metazoa; Chordata; Mammalia; Carnivora; Ursidae. The transcript has 3 exons.
CCGAGCCGCCGCCCGAGGUCGCACACGCAGGGUGAGCCAGGGAGCAAGGGGCCAGGUCUGCCCCUUUCGAACAGAGGGCUCCUGUUAGUAGCCUCCAGGUCUCCCGGCGCAGGACCCACUCUCAGCUCCUCGGGCUACUCACCAGCUCACCCUGUGCGCCCUUCAGGACAAUGCCCGGGAGUCGGAUGGGGCGGGGCCCACCAGGCCCUUCUCCCCUUGGGACUGAGUCCUGCCACCAGCAGCCCAGAGGCAGGAGCAUGGCAGCCCCAAAUCAAGCUCACGGUGUUCUCUCCAGAUGCAGGACGAAGCCAUUUCAGGAAGGCCCUGGUGGUGGAGAACAGAGAACAAACACAGGGGUCCUCGGGAGGGAAUGCGCACUGUCCAGCACACCUGUGCGUGGCCUUGCCACCGGUAAGGACGUGAAGACCAACACGGCAGGGACAACUCAUGUGCGCUUCUAGCAGGACAAAGGUGCUGGCAUCGGCCACAGCGAAUGCCAGCCCCGAAUACGCGCCCCACGGUGUGGCCCCCGCACGACCCAGCAGCGCCUCCCGGGAGCAGCGCACAGGCCGCUCUCACACCCAGCCCCAGUCCACAGUAGGCUUAGUGUGUAUGAGCCUACAGUGAUCCUGGCCCCAGGCCCUCCUGCUGGGAACCCCUACACCUUUCUCAGCCUCGGCAAUGUUUCCUCAAACAGUUCUCAGGAGCUAAGGAUGUGCAGUUUGUCUUGGAACCUGGGGCCCCGGUGUCCUCAAGGUGGGCUCGACGGCUCGCUGGAGGCCAAUGAGGGCCUGCGGGCCCAGAGGUUCCCUGACGGGUGUGGGAAACAGCGCGGGCCCUGAGCUGAGCCCAACGCUGGCGGUUUGCAGGAUGAGUCCAGAGUGCAGAGUGGCACUGAGGGCUCUGCUGACAUCUCAGGCCAGCCCCUGCCUCUGCGGGUGGCCCCGGAGCUCCCGGCAACUGAUGGGCUAGAAUGCCAUUUCAAGAUGCCCAUUGACCCGCCCUGCCCCAAGGCCCCUGGCCCUCCGGCCAGCUGCUGAACCUUUGAGGACAGGGAGUGGGCUUCCCAGGAGGCCCGCGCACGCACGUGGGGGGCAGGGGCGCUGUCCGCGGGCUGGCGCGGGAGCGCGCGGCGGG